GAUGAACGCUGGCGGCGUGCUUAACACAUGCAAGUCGAACGAAGCACUUUAUUUGAUUUCCUUCGGGACUGAUUAUUUUGUGACUGAGUGGCGGACGGGUGAGUAACGCGUGGGUAACCUGCCUUGUACAGGGGGGAUAACAGUUGGAAACGGCUGCUAAUACCGCAUAAGCGCACAGCAUCGCAUGAUGCAGUGUGAAAAACUCCGGUGGUAUAAGAUGGACCCGCGUUGGAUUAGCUAGUUGGUGAGGUAACGGCCCACCAAGGCGACGAUCCAUAGCCGACCUGAGAGGGUGACCGGCCACAUUGGGACUGAGACACGGCCCAAACUCCUACGGGAGGCAGCAGUGGGGAAUAUUGCACAAUGGGCGAAAGCCUGAUGCAGCGACGCCGCGUGAGCGAAGAAGUAUUUCGGUAUGUAAAGCUCUAUCAGCAGGGAAGAUAAUGACGGUACCUGACUAAGAAGCACCGGCUAAAUACGUGCUAGCAGCCGCGGUAAUACGUAUGGUGCAAGCGUUAUCCGGAUUUACUGGGUGUAAAGGGAGCGCAGGCGGUGCGGCAAGUCUGAUGUGAAAGCCCGGGGCUCAACCCCGGUACUGCAUUGGAAACUGUCGUACUAGAGUGUCGGAGGGGUAAGCGGAAUUCCUAGUGUAGCGGUGAAAUGCGUAGAUAUUAGGAGGAACACCAGUGGCGAAGGCGGCUUACUGGACGAUAACUGACGCUGAGGCUCGAAAGCGUGGGGAGCAAACAGGAUUAGAUACCCUGGUAGUCCACGCCGUAAACG
Molecule: ribosomal RNA, 783 nt
Filed under: uncultured bacterium
Lineage: Bacteria
Description: bacterial SSU rRNA
Rfam family: Bacterial small subunit ribosomal RNA
Source: RNAcentral